CCACUUUAGAGCAAUUCAAAUGAGGUACAGCCCAUUUGAUAUAGGAUACAACCUUAACUAACGGGUAACAUUAAAUCUACACCUCCAAGUAGGCCUAAGAGCAGCCACCCUUUAAAAAAGCGUCAAAGCUUAAUCAUGUUCACAUCAAUUUUUAAUCUUCAAUUGACCCCUUUUACCUUACUGAGAAUUUCUAUAUCAUAUAGAAUAUUUUAUGCUAAAACUAGUAACAAGAGUAAACCCUCUCCCAAUGCAAACACAAGCCAGCAAGAACCCAUCACUGGCAAUUAACAGACUUAAACAAAAGUAGCAACAUCUCUAGAAAACCCUACUCAUCCCAACUGUUAACCUUAUACCAGAGCAUUUCAGGAAAGAUUAAAAGAAAAAGAAGGAACUCGGCAAACACUAAUCCCGCCUGUUUACCAAAAACAUCGCCUCUUGCCCCCAUAAGAGGUCAAGCCUGCCCAGUGACUUUGUUCAACGGCCGCGGUAUCCUAACCGUGCAAAGGUAGCGUAAUCACUUGUUUUCUAAAUAAAGACCAGUAUGAAAGGCAUCACGAGGAUUAAACUGUCUCCUUUUUCCAAUCAGUGAAACUAAUCUCCCCGUGAAGAAGCGGGGAUUAUCCUAUAAGACGAGAA
RNAcentral lists this ribosomal RNA (636 nucleotides) under Pristimantis tinguichaca. RNAcentral describes it as "partial 16S ribosomal RNA". The stretch from base 370 to 616 matches the Rfam family "Archaeal large subunit ribosomal RNA", at positions 1787 to 2143 of the family's 2987-position model. The record is from RNAcentral. Lineage: Eukaryota; Metazoa; Chordata; Amphibia; Anura; Strabomantidae.